Dreissena polymorpha is the source of this 392-nucleotide long non-coding RNA. RefSeq lists it as uncharacterized. The record is from RefSeq and is a predicted model, not a curated record. Lineage: Eukaryota; Metazoa; Mollusca; Bivalvia; Myida; Dreissenidae. The transcript has 3 exons.
GUCAUUUGCAUAACGACGGUCAUGAUCGAUCGUUUGACAAAAGCCGAUUAGUAUUUGGCACAAAAGAAAGUAGAAAACGAUAUUAGAAACCCGUGUGUGUAUGCUAGGCCAUUUUUAAAGCACCCGCCCGAGGGUGCCAGUGUGCUUGGCGAUGUAGAUGGAACGAAUGCCAUGUCGCGAGGUGCGGCAGGUGGGGUUGGCGUUUAACAUGUUGUCCUAAUACCAGUCCACGAUGCAGAAACAAAUGACUCAUUAAUUCUGUGGCGGAUAUAACAUACGAACACAAUCGCUGACGGCCCAAAAUACAAGAUACAGACAUGUCACAUAAUAAAUGCAUGAGUUGUGAAAAGUUUUAUACGUAUGCUUUUCGCAUUAAAAAAUACACGAAUAAA